UAAAACUCUCUUAACUCAACCGUCAGUCGUAUCCAUUUUCAAUCUCCAAGGGCUCUUUACGGCACUCGACUUCGAUCAGAUGGAGCAAACCCUGUGGGGACAUUUGCCAUUACUUGUGAGAGCAAACUCCAAAGAAUCGGUGGAGUUCAUUCUUCAAGCUCUCUGGAGGACUCGAAAGACCGGUCUCGAUGCCGCCGACCGCCACCUUCUUCGCGACAUGCUCCAGCUCCAAAAUGACUCCGACUUUGACCCUCUCUUGGUUUGCCUCCGGAUGUUGAUACGUAGGUGCGUUUAUGAGGAUAUCAGUAAGGACGAGAUUCAUAAGCUGUUCCCCGAUGAGGUCCUGCCCGAAUUGCAGAGAUUGUUGACACUUCUGCUCCAAAAGUUCCAAAAAGAAUGGCGAGAUGACGUGUUCAAGAAUCAGGUUACACUUCCCCGCUUGAAGGAAAUGACAUGGAAUAUGGCAAACCCAGAGGCAGAGGCUACGGACCCUGUGGCUGUUAUCAAUUUGAAGCUUCAAAAGGAUGAUCGGGCUCAUCCAGGGGAGUUGGAAGUGAAGUUCCAAUUAGCUAAAGAUACUAUGGAAACAAUGUUAAGAUCCAUGUACAGCAUGAGAGAUCAUUUGUCUGACCCGGGUGAAGCAUCUAACAGGUCCCAGGAAAUGAAUGCAGCAUGAUUUACCAGUUUGCCUCAAAACAAAAUGGUUAGCUUGAUCCAAGUGAGAUGAAUUCUAAACAAUAGCCUUUUUUGAGCUACAUGGAGAAACUUGAUGUAGUUGAACUUGAAAUCAAUAUAUUGGGUCAAUCUACUUUCUAUUCCAAAAGGCGAGACUUUCGGAUGAGGAAUUUGUUAUUUGUGUGAGACAAUUUCCUUGCAGUCAGUUGUUAAAUUAGAUUGUUAUUUCUAAAAGGAGUUGGGUGGAUGAAGCGACAAACUUUUAUGGGUUGCCUGCUGAUUAAAGGACAUUGUGUGUUUUCAUCAUAUUUCCAAGUUCAAGAUUCUUAUCAUCUUGUUUAGUGGAAGUUGUCUUUUACUGUGUUUCAUUUCUCUUUGACAGACACCUUAACAACCGGAGAGUAGAUUUUUUUUAUCAACGAAGAAAAAUUUGAAGUCUGAGAUUAUCAUGAUCUUGUUCAGUGGAAGUAAUCUAUUAUUCUGUUUCAUUUCUAUUUGACAGACAGCUUAACGACCGGAAGGUGGACUUUUUACCGAGGAAGAAAAAGAAGACUAGACAGACAUCACCAGACUGGUAAAUUGUUGGCGUCACUCUGUAUUAAAACGGCGUCGUUCUGUUUUGUAUUUUCUUUUUGCUCUCUGUUAUUAAUUAGUUCGAGCGGACUACUUGACCGGUCAAAUUGGAUAUUUUUGUUUUUUAGUUUUUAUAUGUUCAUAAUAUUAUAAUCUAAACAUUUAAGAUCUAGAUGUUAGAGUCUGGUUUAAAUCAAGGAUUUGAAGUAUACCAGGGCUAGGAAUCAGAGGUUGGUAGUUGACAUCAUGUAUACACACAUAUAUAUAUAUAUAUGGUACGGAACCUGCAGGAGUUAUCAUAA
Molecule: RNA transcript, 1550 nt
Organism: Carica papaya (papaya)
Lineage: Eukaryota; Viridiplantae; Streptophyta; Magnoliopsida; Brassicales; Caricaceae
Source: RefSeq, a predicted model, not a curated record